GGAGGGGUGCUAACGUUGCUCGGAAUUACUGGGCGUUAAAAGCGCAUGUAGGCGGUCUAUCAAGUCUCGUGUGAAAUCCCUGGGCUCAACCCAGGAAGUGCACGGGAAACUGGCAGAUAGAGUUCGGUAGAAGUGGGCGGAAUUCCGGGUGUAGAGGUGAAAUUCGUAGAUAUCCGGAGGAACACCAGUAGCGAAAGCGGUUCACUAGGCCGACACUGACGCUCAGAUGCGAAAGCGUGGGGAGCAAACAGGAUUAGAUACCCUGGUAGUCCACGCCCGUAAACGAUGGAUACUAGGUGUUGGGGGCUUGACCCCUUCAGCGCCGUAGCUAACGCAAUAAGUAUCCCGCCUGGGGAGUACGGUCGCAAAGACUA
Molecule: ribosomal RNA, 374 nt
Filed under: uncultured organism
Description: partial 16S ribosomal RNA
Rfam family: Bacterial small subunit ribosomal RNA
Source: RNAcentral